GAUGAACGCUGGCGGCGUGCCUAAUACAUGCAAGUCGAGCGAACGGACGAGAAGCUUGCUUCUCUGAUGUUAGCGGCGGACGGGUGAGUAACACGUGGAUAACCUACCUAUAAGACUGGGAUAACUUCGGGAAACCGGAGCUAAUACCGGAUAAUAUUUUGAACCGCAUGGUUCAAAAGUGAAAGACGGUCUUGCUGUCACUUAUAGAUGGAUCCGCGCUGCAUUAGCUAGUUGGUAAGGUAACGGCUUACCAAGGCAACGAUGCAUAGCCGACCUGAGAGGGGGAUAGGCCACCCUGGAACGGAGACACGGUCAAGACUACUACGGGAGGCAGCAGUAGGGAAUGUUACGCAACGGGCGAGAGCCUGACGGAGUAACGCGGCGUGAGUGAUGGAGGUGCUCGGAUCGUAAAACUCUGUUAUUAGGGAAGAACAGAUGUGUAAGUAGCUGUGCACAUAUUGACGGUAACUAAUCAGAAAGCAACGGCUAACUACGUG
Molecule: ribosomal RNA, 497 nt
Filed under: uncultured bacterium
Lineage: Bacteria
Description: partial 16S ribosomal RNA
Rfam family: Bacterial small subunit ribosomal RNA
Source: RNAcentral